ACAUUGUCGUAUUUUCAUGAAUGCAAGUUGUAAGACAAGUGUUGAAAACAUUGGCAAAGACAGAUAAACUUUGUACAGAAUUGCCGAGAUCUAGCAUAAAACUCUUUUUCACCAUCUCAGUUGUCUACAAAAUUAACAAUUUUCCCUGUUUUUCCCUCUUCUGCCCUGAUGUGUAGGCUCAAAUGCGUAAAGCCCAACCAUCAGGGCAACAUACACCUCUUCUCAAAGAGAGGCCUGGUGCUGAGACUCAUUCCGGAGCCUUCUCCACAAGGUCAACACCAUCAUCAUCAUCAGAGGAGUCUGUGUCAUCCGCCCAAAGUGGAGAUGACCACAAACCAGCAUUCAGUGAAGGGAGGGGGUCCCGGUCGUCCAACAGCAGUGGAUCAGAAAAGGACCACAUUGAUUUGCAUGAAGCUAAGGCCCUCAAGGCAAAAUGUAAAUCAAAACAAAAAGGUAUGAAAUCGAAAGGAACAGAGAAGUUAAAUGAUGGCCAAAAAAGGAACUACCACCAAUCUUCGUGGAUGUGACACGUGCCUCAGAAAAUACGCACAAGAGAGCAAGGCCAAAAACCCAGAACUGUUGAGGUCAACAAAAUUAAGGAAGCAUGUUGCUACCUUAUGUCAGCUUCUCGACCUGAACAAUCAGGAACUCGAGCAAGUUGCUCGUUUUAUGGGACACGACAUUAGAGUCCAUUGUGAGUUUUAUCGGCAGACCGAUAAAACUUUCCAAGUGGCCAAGAUUGCCAAACUACUGUUUGCGAUGGAACGUGGGACAGAGUCGCUGAAGGGAAAGAGUCUGCAAACCCUGGACUCUGUUAUCACUGGAAGAGCACAUGCAGCCACCUCAACCAAAGGUCUGAAAAGUGGCAAAAAGAGAAGACACGAUCCAGGGAGACGACAGGAAGCUCAAGAUGAAUGAGAAGUGCCACAUUCAGCUGUAGCAACGAGAUCUGAU
This is a long non-coding RNA of Hippocampus zosterae (dwarf seahorse), 954 nucleotides long. RefSeq lists it as uncharacterized. The transcript is spliced from 3 exons. The record is from RefSeq and is a predicted model, not a curated record. NCBI's taxonomy places the organism in Eukaryota, Metazoa, Chordata, Actinopteri, Syngnathiformes, Syngnathidae.